UGUACCACCUUGUCGGGUAGCUUAUCAGACUGAUGUUGACUGUUGAAUCUCAUGGCAACAGCAGUCGAUGGGCUGUCUGACAUUUUGGUAUC
Cervus hanglu yarkandensis (Yarkand deer) is the source of this 92-nucleotide microRNA precursor. Ensembl annotates it as microRNA 21. Its record names the gene MIR21. NCBI's taxonomy places the organism in Eukaryota, Metazoa, Chordata, Mammalia, Artiodactyla, Cervidae. The record is from Ensembl.